Molecule: ribosomal RNA, 182 nt
Filed under: uncultured bacterium
Lineage: Bacteria
Description: partial 16S ribosomal RNA
Rfam family: Bacterial small subunit ribosomal RNA
Source: RNAcentral
ACAUGAAGCCGGAAUCGCUGUAAUCGCGGAUCAGAAUGCCGCGGUGAAUACGUUCCCGGGUCUUGUACACACCGCCCGUCACACCAUGGGAGUCGGAAAUGCCCGAAGUCUGUGACCCAACCGCAAGGAGGGAGCAGCCGAAGGCAGGUCGGAUGACUGGGGUGAAGUCGUAACAAGGUAUC